GAGAGGCCUCGGUUGGUAAACUGCUUUUCCCUGGGACGAGAACGGACGGUACCAGAGGAAGAAGCCCCGGCUAACUACGUGC
Molecule: ribosomal RNA, 82 nt
Filed under: uncultured bacterium
Lineage: Bacteria
Description: partial 16S ribosomal RNA
Source: RNAcentral